RNAcentral lists this ribosomal RNA (536 nucleotides) under Navicula cari. RNAcentral's name for it is "eukaryotic LSU rRNA". It matches the Rfam family "Eukaryotic large subunit ribosomal RNA", at positions 43 to 651 of the family's 3401-position model. The record is from RNAcentral. Lineage: Eukaryota; Bacillariophyta; Bacillariophyceae; Naviculales; Naviculaceae.
UAAUUAAGCGGAGGAAAAGAAACUAACAAGGAUUCCCUCAGUAAGGGCGACUGAAGGGGGAAGAGCUCAACAUGUGAAUCUGCGCCUUGGCGCCGAAUUGUGGUCUGUCGACUCUGGUAUUAUUGGCCCGGCUAAGUCCCUUGGAACAGGGCAGCAUAGAGGGUGAGACUCCCGUCCGCCUGGCCUUUGGAACCAGAUGUCUCCGAGUCGAGUUGUUUGGGAUUGCAGCUCAAAGCGGGUGGUAAAUUCCAUCUAAAGCUAAAUAUUGGUGGGAGACCGAUAGCGUACAAGUACCGUGAGGGAAAGAUGCAAAGAACUUUGAAAAGAGAGUUAAAGAGUACCUGAAAUUGCUGAAAGGGAAGCGAAGGAAAUCAGUGCUUGCUGAGUCAUAUUUCUCACUCUGCUUGCAGAGUGGGCGCUGUGUCUUGGCGUGUGUCAGGCUUGGUUGGGCUUGUUGGAAUCGCGCUGUGAGAGUUGAUCAUGGCAUGUCUGCAAUGAGCUUGACUGAGGUUGACAAAAUGGUUUUCUUUACCCCG